CAACUGACAGAGACAUUUAUCAUUUUAGACAACUGACAGAGACAUAUUUAUCAUUUUAGACAACUGACAGAGACAUAUUUAUCAUUUUAGACAACUGACAGAGACACAUUCAUCAUUUUAUCCAACUGACAGACAUUUAUCAUUUUAUCCAACUGACAGACAUUUAUCAUUUUAGCCAACUGACAGAGACAUUUAUCAUUUUAGACAACUGACAGAGACAUAUUUAUCAUUUUAGACAACUGACAGAGACAUAUUUAUCAUUUUAUCCAACUGACAGAGACAUUUAUCAUUUUAGACAACUGACAGAGACAUAUUUAUCAUUUUAGACAACUGACAGAGACAUAUUUAUCAUUUAGACAACUGACAGAAACAUAUUUAUCAUUUUAGACAACUGACAGAGACAUAUUUAUCAUUUUAGACAACUGACAGAGACACAUUCAUCAUUUUAUCCAACUGACAGACAUUUAUCAUCUUAGCCAACUGACAGAGACAUUUAUCAUUUUAGACAACUGACAGAGACACAUUUAUCAUUUUAUCCAACUGACAGACAUUUAUCAUUUUAGCCAACUGACAGAGACAUAUUUAUCAUUUUAGACAACUGACAGAGACAUAUUUAUCAUUUUAGACAACUGACAGAGACAUAUUUAUCAUUUUAGACAACUGACAGAAACAUAUUUAUCAUUUUAGACAACUGACAGAGACAUUUAUCAUUUUAGACAACUGACAGAGACAUUUAUCAUUUUAGACAACUGACAGAGACAUUUAUCAUUUUAGACAACUGACAGAAACAUAUUUAUCAUUUUAGACAACUGACAGAGACAUAUUUAUCAUUUUAGACAACUGACAGACAUAUUUUGCACCUAUCUUUACCAAGGGUGCCAAUACUAAUCUAGAGCGUAACUUUGUGUAAAAUUGCUUAGUGCUGAUAUGAUGAACGUUGAUUGUCUGUGCUUGCCCCGCCCCCUGUGUCUGAUAGGCUGCUGCAUGAGAUUUUCCCUCGUGCAUCAGAACUCUACGAACGCGUGGCAGCGAAUCGCGAGCAGUGGACCAAAGUUUCACACAAGUUCACCAUCCGCGGUUUACCCAGCAACAACUCGCUGGACUUCCUGGAUGAGGAGUACGAGCUGAUGCAGGCGCAGGGGGCGUUCGGGACGACGGUCACCGCAUGAAUGGCUGCCUGGACGACGAGUGCAGCAAGACGGACCAAUGAACUCCUCAAAGUGCAACGUUUUCACUCUGAAACAGGUAGACGUUACGCCAUUGUGUCAUCUCCGAGAGGACGGCGUCGUAGACGGAACAAACCGGGGUGUGGUUGGACGACAGUCGAGACACUGGAGUUCCGUGGGCGGAGCUGAUAUGCUGCAGAUAAUGAUGUCAUUUCCUGCCAUUUGAACCAUUUGCGCAAGCAGAACAUUUCACUUGUGGUGGGGCCGGGGGCGGAGCCUCGUGUUUUUGUGUCGAAUAUUUCAGAUAUGUUCUUUAAUUAUUUACUUAACGUUUUGAUAGCUGAACAAAGCCUGAGUGUUUGAUUUUAUAUAUAUUUUCUGUCCUGCUGUAAACAUUAUAAACGCCAUCCAGAUGUAUAGAAGUGACGUUUAGUUGAUGAAACAGUUUACGGGAAAUGUUUCUUUGAGUAAGCAUCGCUGUAGAAAUGUCGUCAUCGCCAGCUAGAUCUUUCAUUUCACACGCAGAAUGAGUGAACAGGGAUUUUUAUUUUACUGUAAAGACAAUCAAACCGUUACAAGUCCUGUACAUCCCUUUUCCCAUCCUCAUAAGUGCGACUGCCCAUGACGAGAGAACACUCGAGAUGAGGCUGCUGAAACUUUGCCCUCAGUCCCUCAUCCUGUCACAUGACUCAGCCUCAGUUCAGGUAAGCCCAAAAAAAAAAAAAAAAAUCUGCGCUCAUUUCCCAGACCGAAAUUCCCCCCACAAGCUCCUGUUGGAACGGAGUGCAUUAUGGCUGCGUUCAUGAGAUGAGAAAUUUAACUAUUUAAUGUUUAUCAUCAUAAUAGAUCCAAAGACUGCGAGUUUAACUGUGUCCGGCGAAUUUAAGGCCACUUCAGUACAAAUCUCCUGACUUCUGAGAAUGUCGUACCAGCGGCGUUCCCACUUCUUUUUGUAAGAACAUUUUAAGGGCUACAGCGCCCUCUGAGGCACGUGAAGAGGUUUAUUUCUCAGGCGGAAAACAGAAUUAUGUAUAAAUAUGGAUUUGCCUUAUCACGUAUAUGUGUUGCCUUUUUGAGUAGAGUUAAACUAAUAUAUAUACACACACGCACACACACACACACAGUUUUAAAGCUAUACAGCUCAGCGUGUGCAGGCAUGUUAACACGGGUGUGAAAGUCAAACCCAAGGCUAAAUCCGACUCUGCUAGUAUGCUAGCUGGUGUAAAGUAAAUCUCUAAUCCAAUCGGUGUAAACUAACUAAUUAUUAAUGUUCCCUAUAAAUAAUGUUCGAAAUAUAUAGGGCUAAUUUCAUUUCUUCAUACUUGAGUUCAUUUUCAGCGAGCCCUUUAUCCCAGUCAGGGUCACCGUGGAUCCCAGAUUAAUGGAUUCAUUCCAGAUGUUUUCACAAGGGCUAUACAGAUGGGACUAGUUUUAUAUGGGAAGGCUGGGUGAUGUAAUAAUUACCAGAGCUUCUCUGUGAUUUUAAUCCCGUGUGAACUGGUCAUGUCAGCUAUUUUUCCGGACUUUCUUCCCGGACUGUGCAGGGAAGGUUACGGUGUCUUUUACCUGCUAUAAAAACCCCUGUAAAGAUAACCCAGGUUAAUCUAAUCCCGUGCGAACUGACCGAUACACAGAUUCAGGUAUGACUUGAUUGAUUGGGUUUGGAUAAACAACCAUCUUACUCUCAUUUAUUAACAAAGACUGAUUAAAAAUAAAUCAAAAUGAAUUCAGUCUAAAAAGCAGCUUAAAAAUAUGUGGGGAAAAAAGAAAAGAAACAUCUUCGACAUAAUGUAAAAAAAAAAUAAUAAUAAUGAAAUAAAAAAGAAUGAAAUCUUUUUUGAUUGUCCAGAUAAUUUAGUUGCAGAAAAUCAUGAGAAUAAAACAACGCCAGGGUGCCGAGACUUUCUCUCCUGCGCUAACAUGUCCGCCGCCUCAGCUUUCCACGCGUGACGUACUACUGAAAGCCAGUCGUAUAAACGAAUUUCCGUACACGAGCCAAAUUUCUUACAACAUGAAAAGAAAUCUGUAUAAAGAGGUAACGGUGAGUUUUAUGAGAUCCAGCUCGUUCUGUUAAACGCGACAUCAACACUGACUUGAAUUUCUAUUCCUCCAUGCUGUAGUUUAAUAUGAUCACAGCUUCAGCUCUCAUGUGCAAUAUGUCGUUCCUGUAACGUGUAAAUAACCACGUGUGCUUUUUAAAUGAUUCCUUUUUACAACAUACUGAACAUAUUUUCUGGUAUUUCUUCGUAUCUGAAGGUGGAAAUGAUUUUGUUUCCCUUUUCUGUUUGUUUGUUUUUUGCUUCUUUUUUGUCCCCCUCACUAACAGAUGAACGUUUCUCUCGUGCCGUCCCCGUCACUUUGGAAAAAACGUGACGAACGUUCCUGUAAAUAUGAACUUAAAGAAAUGUUUCUCUAUUCUAUGUAAUUACCAGAUGUUUAAAAAAGCGAGUUAUUUAUCUAUUUAAAACGGAGCGUCUGUGACGACGGUAUUGGUGGUCUUUCUUAGAUUUAGUGGCCUUCCUAAACAUUUCUGCAUCAUUCAGAUUUCAAAUAUUAAAAAAGGUCUAAAACAUGAAAUUUAUAUUAGAAGUGUAACGUUUCGGCUGCUCACGAUGAAAAAACCAAACAAAGCAAUUUUAAAAAUGAUACGAGACUAGCUUCACCUUUAGCAUGGGUUUAAAAAUAAAUCGAUGGUUUGAUCAAGAUUUCAGCUCCAGUUAGUCCCAAUAAAUGAAGAAGAAUAAUUAAAAGGAUAACAGUGAAGAGGUAAGCGAUGUUGUGGGAUUACGGUGGCGCUGGUGGUUCUGUUUGAUCUCUAUUCUGUACUGACGUGUUGGUUUUGCUGGUCGUGGCCUCGAGUGAACACUGUGUACAUAAUGUACAGCUUGGACUGUGUCUUUAAAAACACAUUUCCUGUUUCUGGAAUGGAGAAAAGGCCAGUUACAUCCGAAAUAUAUGAAUAUAAAAAAAACUGCAGUGAAUUUUUAUUCAAAUAAAUUUCCUAAAACGGCUCAAAUGUGUUUUUAUUCAAAUUCUAUAAAGUAGUGGAAAAAGCGAUUAAGCCAAAAAUAAAUACUUUUAUUUAAAAUGUUUAAGGCAUAAAAUACUCUGAAAAACAAACACGCCUCAAGCCUCAAACAGCAGGAAGUUUAAAUAAACAAAACAAAACAAACACACAAACAUCCUUACAACUUCAUCAGGAAUGGUUUUUUUUUUUUGAGGAAUGUUUAGAUUAAGUUUAAGAUUGAAGGACAAACAAACUUCACUUCAAACCUGCUCAACUUUUCAGUAAAAAGUAUUUCAGAUGUUGGUCCUACAGAUGUUUUCUUACAAUGCACCAUCUUCUAAUUUAAAAAGUCAUUAAAACAGAAGUAUAACAAUAUCAGAAGAUCUGUCCUAAACACAGAGCAGAUACCCCAAGUUAACGCAUCACUCUUACAGCAGGGUCUGUACUGAUCCUGUACACAGGGGUGCCACAGCCGCUAACCCAGCCGCUAACCCGCUAACACCAACAUCCGAGUAGGCCGAGAGAAACAAAAUGGAAAUGAAUUAGGUGUUGUACCUCAGCACGGGACGGCUCCACGCUAAACAGCAUAAUUCUCAGAUGUAUUUAGCUUGAACUGAUAUUUAAUCACAGUCUGCACCGAUGUUUCUAUUUAUGAAGUGUUAAAGCUUACUUGAUAAACUUCUAACAAAAUCAGCAUUUUAUCAUAACGGAUAGCGUUGGCGUAACAUCGAGGCCAAAGGUCUGUAAAACAUGUACCUGAGUAAUUACUCAAGUUUUAUUUCUUUGCCUUCAAAGUCCUUCUUGAUUUCUAUUGGCUCACCGGACCGGAGUAGGUGGGUUUACAGGUCAGAGUUCCCUUCGGUGCGGUCCCGAUGCAGAAGCACACGUGUUUUCACGUGUCUCCUGUAUCGCAGGGUCAAAGACCGUAAAUGUUGGCACCCCUGGGUAGGGAAUGUAACGGUCAUUUCUGUGCUCAAACUCUGUGUGGAGAUUUAAUCGUAAUUCUCUUUCACUAUAAGGAUAAUACUGAACAUUACUUUGAUUUAAUCAUCCAAUCCAACCUGCAUUCUCGUCUCGGGUUUACACAUGAUGUAUUUUUAACGUGGUUACAGGUGAACCCUGAAUCUGUUCUUCAUCAACACACACACGCAGUACAGAUUUACUCUCAUUAAAACUCCCUUACAGUAUGAUCUGGAGUAGGUUAAUCAUUUUAUCUGUAAAAACCACGUAUACAGUUUGACUCUGUUACACACUAACAGUGUCUUUACUCGGCUGAUACGAGUUCCAGGAGAAAUCCAGCUUAAGGCCUGUGUGCCACAAAAAAACAUCUUAAAUUCAUAAAGACUCAGGGAAAAAAAGCACAAUUUUUGUGGUAAAGAAAGAAAGAAACGAUGCACUGUAAUGAUUAAACAACGUUCUGACUGCUGGAGAGUAGCGCGGGUUAACUCAGUACAAUUUAUAUAUAUAUAUAUAUAUAUACACAUAAAAAGUUUAUUAGCUGCUAAACCAAUAUUCACAUUAAAUUACAACCCUGCUUCUUAAAGAUGUCUGAUUUUUUCUUUUAUUACAGUGGUGGAAAUUCGCUGUGUUUUCCCUAUGAAUAAUUAAAAAUAUAAUAGAAAUGGUUUCUCUGCGUGGAAAAUCCAGAAACUGAAAAAAAAAAAAAAAAAAUUCUUUCUUGAAUAAACAGCUUAAUAUUUGAUGAUGUUCUGCGUCCGGACAUCUGGGAACAUGUGCUGCAUUGCUCUAAUUAUUAACUUUUUUCAUUUAUUUAAGAGAACACUAAAAUUCUGAGGUACAGAAAAAAGUUCUGACCCUUAUAACGUCCAGGUAUGACAUGGUUUAUUACCAGCACCUGAGAUUGACCCGGUUACGAUUACGCAGUUCUCUUAUAUUACGAUCUUUAUUGAUUUCUUUAAAAUCUGUGGAGUUUACAGUUUAAUAAUGCAGCGUGUUCCAC
Molecule: long non-coding RNA, 6133 nt
Organism: Ictalurus punctatus (channel catfish)
Lineage: Eukaryota; Metazoa; Chordata; Actinopteri; Siluriformes; Ictaluridae
Source: Ensembl